RNAcentral lists this ribosomal RNA (253 nucleotides) under uncultured bacterium. RNAcentral describes it as "partial 16S ribosomal RNA". It matches the Rfam family "Bacterial small subunit ribosomal RNA", at positions 524 to 776 of the family's 1533-position model. The record is from RNAcentral.
UACGUAGGGUGCGAGCGUUAAUCGGAAUUACUGGGCGUAAAGGGCGCGUAGGCGGCUGUUCAAGUCGGGGGUGAAAUCCCGUGGCUCAACCACGGAAUGGCCUUCGAUACUGGACGGCUGGAGACCGGAAGAGGUGAGUGGAACUGCGAGUGUAGAGGUGAAAUUCGUAGAUAUUCGCAAGAACACCAGUGGCGAAGGCGGCUCACUGGUCCGGUUCUGACGCUGAGGCGCGAAAGCGUGGGGAGCAAACAGG